Molecule: ribosomal RNA, 253 nt
Filed under: uncultured bacterium
Lineage: Bacteria
Description: partial 16S ribosomal RNA
Rfam family: Bacterial small subunit ribosomal RNA
Source: RNAcentral
UACGAAGGGUGCAAGCGUUACUCGGAAUUACUGGGCGUAAAGCGCACGUAGGCGGAUUGUUAAGUCAGGGGUGAAAUCCUGGAGCUCAACUCCAGAACUGCCUUUGAUACUGGCGAUCUUGAGUUCGGGAGAGGUGAGUGGAACUGCGAGUGUAGAGGUGAAAUUCGUAGAUAUUCGCAAGAACACCAGUGGCGAAGGCGGCUCACUGGCCCGAUACUGACGCUGAGGUGCGAAAGCGUGGGGAGCAAACAGG